Nerophis lumbriciformis (worm pipefish) is the source of this 126-nucleotide non-coding RNA. The record is from RefSeq and is a predicted model, not a curated record. NCBI's taxonomy places the organism in Eukaryota, Metazoa, Chordata, Actinopteri, Syngnathiformes, Syngnathidae.
CCUUGAUGAUGACAAUCGCACGCGUCUUACGCCGUGUGUCGACGCCAGACCUGUAAAGGUGAACCCUCUGGUGUUGCCACGGCAACAAGGGGACAGCUUGUUGGGGUGUCCAACAGUCUGAAAGGA